UGUGCAGAAGUGCAUCAAGCUGAGGCCCUAGGACCUGCAGGGAUAAUCCAGGGGCUCAAGAAACACUGAUUGAAUGAAAUGAACAAAGAAAGAGCAAGCAAGCUAUGUAUUUCACUGGAACCUUUUACAUGAGACUCAGGUUUCAUUUUGAAGACACCCAGGUCAAUGUGUAGAUUAUCUUGACUCCGCCUCUUUAAAUAGAGCACAGAUUGUUAUAUGCAAGUUGCGUGCUAGUGUGUUUUAAGUAGAGAAACAAAAGGAGUGUCUUUACAUUAAUGUUUUCUUCAAAGAAGAUAGAGAUCACUCAGGAUGCUAGGUUUUUUUUUUUUUUUCACUUAUUUUGAGGAUCUUUACAAAGGAAAAUGGCUCUUUGAAAUCGCAAGGAUGAUGUAGCUAUCUGGUUGGGUUUGAUCCUGCCAGUUCCGCUAGGAGAAAUCUUACUUCAUAUUGGCUGAAUUGCUGACAUGAGUUUUAAAGAUAAAACAAUUUGAGAAAUUGAAAA
Molecule: non-coding RNA, 502 nt
Filed under: Pan troglodytes (chimpanzee)
Lineage: Eukaryota; Metazoa; Chordata; Mammalia; Primates; Hominidae
Source: RNAcentral